GGCGUAAGCGCGCGCAGGCGGUCCUUUAAGUCUGAUGUGAAAGCCCACCCCUCAACCGUGGAGGGUCAUUGGAAACUGGGGGACUUGAGUCGCAAAAAAGGAAAGUGGAAUUCCAAGUGUACCGGUGAAAUGCGUAAAGAUUUGAAGGAACACCAGGGGCAAAGGCAACUUUCUGGUCUGUAACUGACCCUAAGGCGCGAAAGCGUGGGGAGCAAACAGGAUUAAAUACCCUGGUAGUCCACGCCGUAAACAAUGAUGGCUAAGUGUUAGGGGGUUUCCGCCCCUUAUUGCUGCAUCUAACGCAUUAACCACUCCGCCUGGGAAGUACGGUCGCAAAACUGAAACUCAAAGGAAUUGACGGGAGCCCGCACAAGCGGUGAAGCAUGUGGUUUAAUUCAAACCAACGCGAAAAACCUUACCAGGUCUUGACAUCGCGUUGACCACUGUAAAAAUAUGGUUUCCCCUUCGGGGACAACGAUGACAGGUGGUGCAUGGUUGUCGUCACCUCGUGUCAUGAGAUGUUGGAUUAAGUCCCGCAACGAGCGCAACCCUUGAUCUUAGUUGCCAUCAUUUAGUUGGGCACUCUAAGGUGACUGCCGAUGACAAACCGG
This 611-nucleotide ribosomal RNA is filed under the name Lysinibacillus fusiformis. Its description in RNAcentral is "bacterial SSU rRNA". It matches the Rfam family "Bacterial small subunit ribosomal RNA", at positions 557 to 1166 of the family's 1533-position model. The record is from RNAcentral. Lineage: Bacteria; Bacillati; Bacillota; Bacilli; Caryophanales; Bacillaceae.